GUGCUACUACCAGUAUGAAUCAACCUCUUACCUCAUAAAUAGUGAGCAAGCCCAGGGGCUUCUGGGCUCUUCUGUAGGACAGUCUCCUGUGUGAUGGAUCGCCUCUAACGUAAGGGUGGCUCUUGAAGUUAUGCCUGUUUUGGUGCUGUGUGAUGCCUUGCUGAUACAGACCUUUGGUAUGCUCAAAGCACUGAUGGAAGAUAUCUACUCUGAAGUGUUUCUGAUAAAAAUGGAAGAAAAUUGUCAAAGGAUUGAAGAAUGAUAUUUAUGCCGUAUAUUAAAGCUUAUUUUACAUGCUAAACUGGAUUGGGGAAUUCAUUUCUCAUAGAAGCUGUUGACAGCUCUAACUUAAGAAGCUAUUUUUCAUAGAUCAGAUUAUCUGCUGAAGUGACCGUCUUCAAACUGAGUGGUGAGGAGAGCUGGGUAAAAUGGAGUAAUUACAGUUCUGUACUGUAUACUGCUGAAUAAAGAAUGUAGAGAUCAUGAGCCA
RNAcentral lists this long non-coding RNA (490 nucleotides) under Phasianus colchicus (ring-necked pheasant). Its description in RNAcentral is "lncRNA (ENSPCLG00000001902.1)". Lineage: Eukaryota; Metazoa; Chordata; Aves; Galliformes; Phasianidae. The record is from RNAcentral.